This 393-nucleotide ribosomal RNA is filed under the name uncultured bacterium. RNAcentral describes it as "bacterial SSU rRNA". It matches the Rfam family "Bacterial small subunit ribosomal RNA", at positions 29 to 413 of the family's 1533-position model. The record is from RNAcentral.
AACGAACGCUGGCGGCGCGCCUAAUACAUGCAAGUCGAGCGAGAAGACGUAGCAAUACGUUUGUAAAGCGGCGAACGGGUGAGGAAUACAUGGGUAACCUACCCUCGAGUGGGGAAUAACUAGCCGAAAGGUUAGCUAAUACCGCGUACGCUCCUUGGACUUCGGUUCAGGGAGGAAAGCGAUACCGUGGGUAUCGCGCUCUUGGAUGGGCUCAUGUCCUAUCAGCUUGUUGGUGAGGAACGGCUCACCAAGGCUUCGACGGGUAGCUGGUCUGAGAGGACGAUCAGCCACACUGGCACUGCGACACGGGCCAGACUCCUACGGGAGGCAGCAGUAAGGAAUAUUGCGCAAUGGGCGAAAGCCUGACGCAGCGACGCCGCGUGGGGGAGUGAA